Molecule: long non-coding RNA, 6668 nt
Filed under: Zea mays
Lineage: Eukaryota; Viridiplantae; Streptophyta; Magnoliopsida; Poales; Poaceae
Description: long non-coding RNA (ZMAY_LNC005567)
Source: RNAcentral
CACGCACGGAAGGAAAAUCUUCUCUGCGUUCCUAUCCUCCACUCUGAUAUUUCAUCGCUCUGAUUUUUGUUGAAGUUGCUGGCCGCUCAACCUCAUCUAGCGCGCAAGAUCUCCUGGAGAUUUUUCCACCGCUUGCACGUCCAGCUCUUCUUCAAAUAUCCCAUACGUACAUCUUCCUUCCCUCGCCUUAUCUCUCCACCGCUUUCUCUCUUCCAUCUGAUAUGCCGCGUCGCUGUAUUCUGGAAAGCAAAAGAAAAUCCCGCCGCUGUUCUUCUGUUGAAAUUUCUGCCGUCUCUUCUUAUCUGCUGCUGGGAUUUUUACCGUCGUCAUUCUCCCAGCUGAGCUCUCUCUCUCUGCUCUUGCUCGCAUCCAGCCAUGGCGCCCCUGUUCUUCUCUUUUCCAGUCUGGCCAGCCGAGCGCUCCUUCUCCCAGCCAUGGAGCUCCCGGCCGUGCAGCUCGCCCAAUCCCCAACCCGACCGGAGCUCCCUUCAACUCGAUUUCCCAUCUCCCUGUAUCUCCCAUGGGAGAGCGUGUUAGAUCUUUUAUGGGCUUGACCCAUUUAUUGAAUAAACUCUAUGGUGUGUAAUGGUGGAGAAUACUAAUAGUACCACAUUGGAAGUCCAAGGGUCUUUUGCCUUGACUUAUAUGGUGGGAUUUAUUCCACUUAACUUGAGAAGUCAAGAAAUGGACAAGGGCGUGCCACACGCGCGCGCGCGCCGCCGCCGCCGGCCGGGCCGGGCGAGACGUGGCGAGACGUGGCGUGGCAGGCAGGCACAAUCCAGCCGCCGAGUGAGGGUAUUUCCAUCUCGUGACUCUGCGCGCACAGAGUAGCGAGAGGGCAGGUGCCUCCGAAGCCGGUGCCGUUCGAGACCUUGCACGGGGGAUCGGCAAUUAGGUUUUUGGGGAGCGUCUACGCGACUGCCCAAAACAUCUUCAACAUGACAAAGGAAGCUGGCCAAGGAUCUGGAUCAUCAGAGCGCAUAGGAGGGUAUGAUCAGUUUAUUUACUUACUGUUUUGUGUUCUGGAGAUUAUAUAUGUUUCAUAUUUUCAUCUAUGCUGUUUCAUAGUUACGAAUGAUUUUAUCUUAUCUGUUCUGUCUUAUUAUAAUAUGAUAGAUCUGUCUGUUUUAAUUUUUCAGUCAUGCUAUUUAAGUUUCUAUCUGUUUACUUUCAUUUGUUUAGUCAGUAUACAUGUUUAUCGUAUUUAUAUGAUUUAUAUAAUUCACAUGCUCUAUGUUCUCUUGAUUCAUACUGGUAUGGAUCAAUUUGAGAUCACAAUUUCUAUGGUUAAUUAUUUGUUAUAUGUCAUCAUCAUAAUGUUGAUUUAUGGAAUUAAAAUAAUACGGAAAAUGCCUAUAUUUCUAACAAUCCAAAAACCUAAAGUUAGGCAUUUUUCUGUCAGAGGUUUUGCUGCUGUGCUAAAGCCUGAUCCUUUUGAUGAUAAAAACUUCUUGAUAUGGAAAGCUAAAAUGGAAUUGUGGCUAACUGCAAUGUCUUGUUUUCAUGCCGCUGAGGGCAAGCCUGCAAACUUACCUCCUGAGGAUGAGGCUAAGUUUAAGGCUGAAGACAACCUCUUUCGAGGAGCAGUAAUUAGCGCACUGGAUACAAAAUUCCAGAAAAGCUAUAUCAUCCUUCCCACGGGGAAAGAGCUGUGGGAUGCUCUUGUUGGAAAGUUUGGAGUUACUGACGCUGGUAGCGAGCUGUAUCUCAUGGAGCAGCUGUAUGACUACAAGAUGGUUGAGAACCGAUCUGUAGUGGAACAGGCUCAUGAGUUUCAGGCACUAGCUAAGGAACUCGAACUUUUUCCUUGUCCUUUGCCUGACAAGUUUGUGGCUGGCGGUAUAAUCGCCAAGUUGCCACCUUCUUGGAAGGACUUUGCUACCUCUCUCAAACAUAAGAGACAAGAGUUCAAUGUGGAAGAGCUCAUUGGUACUCUUGAUGUUGAGGAAAGGGCUAGAACAAAGGACAGUGGAAAAGGUGUUGAGACCUCUACUGCUAAUGUGGUGCAGAAGAGAAACUUUCGCAAGUUUAACAAGAAGAAAAACCAGAACAAAUCAGAGAAUGCGAAUAAACCUGUUCAUACAGCACAGUUUAAAAAGAAGAACAACAAUAACAAGGGAAAGGGAGGAUGCUUUGUCUGUGGCAGUGAUCAACAUUGGGCAAGAGAGUGCCCUGAUCGCAAGUUCACUCAAGACAAGAAAUCAGCUAAUGUUGUAACCACUGAAACUGAAGGAGGAACAUCUGGGUAUGGUAAUUCUUUACCAUUCGUUCUUUCAGUCUGUAAUUCACCUGAGUGGUGGAUGGACAGUGGUGCAAACAUUCAUGUGUGUGCUGAUGCCUCUAUGUUCACUUCCUAUCAGGUCGGGAGGUCUGGCGCCUUGUUGAUGGGAAAUGGGUCGCGUGCUCAUGUUCUUGGUGUUGGUACGGUCAUUCUGAAGUUUACUUCGGGAAAGACUGUGCCAUUGAAGAGCGUGCAGCAUGUGCCCUCUAUCAAGAAGAAUCUCGUUAGCGCUUCUAUGCUAUGUCGAGAUGGAUACAAAGUUGUUCUUGAGUCUAAUAAAUGUGUUGUGUCGAAACAUGGUACCUUUGUUGGUAAAGGAUAUGAUUGCGGAGGCUUGUUCCGCUUAUCACUGCAUGAUGUGUGUAAUAAACUGGUGAAUUCUGUUAAUUUUUCUGAUGAGUCAGAUUUAUGGCAUUCAUGGUUUUGUCAUGCAAGCUUUGGCUGUCUUAUGCGGUUAGCAAAUAUAAAUUUAAUUCCUAAAUUUAACUUGGUCAAAAAGUCUAAGUGCCAUGUGUGUGUUGAAUCAAAACAACCCCGCAAGCCACACAAGGCUGCUGAGGCGAGGAGUUUGGCACCUCUAGAACUUGUUCAUUCUGGUCUGUGCGAGAUGAAUGGAGUGUUGACCAAAGGUGGUAAAAGAUACUUUCUCACUUUUAUAGAUGACUCCACUAGAUUUUGUUAUGUGUAUCUCUUAAAAACAAAAGAUGAAGCGUUCAAUUAUUUUAAGGCCUAUAAAGCUGAAGUUAAGAACCAACUUGAGAGGAAAAUAAAACGUUUAAGGUCCGAUCGAGGUGGAGAAUAUUUCUCUAAUGUGUUCGAUGAGUUCUGCGUGGAACAUGGAAUUAUUCAUGAGAGGACACCGCCAUUCUCACCACAAUCCAAUGGGAUUGCUGAAAGGAAAAACCGCACUCUAACAGAUUUGGUGAAUGCCAUGUUGAGUACAGCGGGAUUAUCCAAGGCAUGGUGGGGUGAGACGAUUUUGACAGCAUGUCAUGUCCUGAAUAGAGUUCCAACAAAGAACAAAGAGAUCACUCCAUUUGAGGAAUGGGAAAAGAGAAGAGUAAAUCUCUCAUAUUUGCGCACUUGGGGUUGCUUGGCUAAAGUGAAUGUGCCAAUCAACAAAAAGCGUAAACUUGGGCCUAAAACUGUUGAUUGUGUAUUCCUUGGGUACUCUUUUCACAGCACUGGGUAUAGGUUCUUAAUUAUAAAAUCUGAUGUGCCUGAUAUGUAUGUUGAUACUAUCAUGGAAUCAAGAGACGCAUCAUUUUUUGAGAAUGAGUUUCCUAUGAAGAAUACACCUAGUGAUAUAAGUCAUGAGACUAUAAUUCCCCAUGAGCACGAACUGUCGAUUCCUAUAGAUCAUGCUGAGGAUUCUCACGUGCACAUCCCUGAGGAGGAUGACACUAUAGUCACUCGAAAGAGCAAGAGACAGAGGGUUGCAAAAUCCUUUGGUAAUGACUUUAUAGUGUACCUUGUGGAAGACACACCAACUACCAUUAGUGAGGCAUAUUCCUCUCCUGAUGCUGACUUAUGGAAGGAAGCAGUAAGGAGUGAGAUGGAAUCUAUUAUGUCUAAUGGAACUUGGGAGGUCGUGGACCGUCCUUAUGGUUGUCAACCUAUAGGUUGCAAAUGGAUCUUCAAGAAAAAGCUUAGGCCUGAUGGUACAAUUGAGAGGUACAAGGCAAGGCUUGUGGCCAAAGGAUAUACCCAAAAGGAGGGUGAAGAUUUCUUUGACACCUACUCACCAGUGGCUCGAUUGACUACAAUUCGCACAUUAAUAGCCGUGGCAGCCUCUUAUGGUCUUAUCAUUCAUCAGAUGGAUGUUAAGACAGCUUUCCUAAAUGGAGAGUUGGAUGAGGAGAUCUAUAUGGAUCAGCCAGAAGGGUUUAUUGUGGAUGGUCAAGAGAACAAGGUGUGCAGGUUGAUAAAAUCAUUGUAUGGCCUAAAACAAGCACCUAAGCAAUGGCAUGAAAAGUUUGAUAAUACUCUUACAGCAGCUGGCUUUGUUGUAAAUGAAUCUGACACGUGUGUAUACUAUCAGUAUGGUGGGGGUGAGUCUGUUAUGCUGUGCCUUUAUGUUGAUGACAUUUUGAUCUUUGGAUCAAAUCUCAAUGUGAUUGAGGAAGUUAAAAAUCUUCUAUCGAGCAAUUUCGAGAUGAAAGAUUUGGGAGAGGCUGAUGUCAUUCUAAACAUCAAGCUUGUUAGAGAAGCUGAUGGUGGGGUAACUUUGUUACAAUCCCAUUAUGUGGAAAAGGUAUUGAGUCGCUUUGGUUUUAGUGACUGUGAUCCUGCUCCAACACCUUAUGACCCCAGUGUGCUAUUAAGAAAGAAUCGGAGAAUAGCAAGGGAUCAAUUGACAUACUCCCAGAUCAUUGGCUCGCUCAUGUACCUUGCAAGUGCAACAAGGCCAGACAUCUCUUAUGCUGUGAGUAAGCUAAGUCGGUUUGUGUCGAAACCAGGAGAUGAUCACUGGCGUGCUCUUGAGAGAGUGUUGCGGUAUUUGAAAGGUACUAUGACAUACGGUAUUCAUUAUACCGGAAACCCAAAAGUGCUGGAAGGCUAUUGUGAUGCCAACUGGAUUUCUGAUGCUGAUGAGCUUUAUGCCACAAGCGGAUAUGUGUUUCUGUUUGGAGGUGGCGCUGUUUCCUGGAAGUCUUGCAAGCAGACUAUCUUAACGAAGUCUACAAUGGAAGCAGAACUCGCAGCAUUAGACACUGCUGGGGCUGAGGCCGAGUGGCUUCGUGAUUUCCUAUUGGACUUACCGGUAGUUGAAAAACCGAUACCGGCUAUUUCCAUGAACUGUGACAACCAAACGGUGAUUACAAAGGUUAACAGUUCUAGGAAUAACAUGAAGUCUACAAGGCAUGUUAAGAGGAGAUUGAAAUCUGUCAGAAAGUUGAAAAACUCCGGAGUUAUAACUGUGGAUUAUGUCCACACAUCGAAUAAUCUAGCAGAUCAAUUCACUAAGGGUCUAUCACGCAAUGUGAUAGAAAGUGCAUCGAGGGAAAUGGGUAUGAGACCCAUGUGAGAUCUACUCUAGUGGUAACCUGCUCUAUGUGAUCGGAGAUCCCGUGAAGUAGAGUGGAGAAACAAGCUAGGAGUAGAUUGUGAGGAAAGAUCCCUUCUUUAACUCAUUUCUGAUGCACAUCUUUCCUAUCUGUAAGGCAGGAUGGUUUUUACCUUAAUGUAUUCCAAGAGUCUUAUAAAGGUGAGAUGUUGUCCUACAGAACAUCUUCUGAGGAAUACACCUAUAUGAGUCAGACUGCUAGUCACAGUCUAUGGGAUUUGGGUAAUCCCUAAAUACUCAUGAAAGGCACUGAAGUGUGACUUAUAUGCUUCUAACAGCGGGAAUACCCUUCUGCAGCCUAGUAUCAGCAAAGGAUUUGAGUGAAUCUUAUUUCGCACAAAACUGUCAAUUCAAGGCAUAGUCCAUUGUUCAGUUGUGAAUAAGUGAAACUCUUAUUCUAGAUGGAUGUUCAACUUAACAGUCUCCAUCGAAACACUGGUAUAUCAAAGGAUUGUGAUUCUGAUACUUCAUCAUUACAAACCCUAGAGUUUGGUGGGGAUUGUUGGAUCUUUUAUGGGCUUGGCCCAUUUAUUGAAUAAACUCUAUGGUGUGUAAUGGUGGAGAAUACUAAUAGUACCACAUUGGAAGUCCAAGGGUCUUUUGCCUUGACUUAUAUGGUGGGAUUUAUUCCACUUAACUUGAGAAGUCAAGAAAUGGACAAGGGCGUGCCACACGCGCGCGCGCGCCGCCACCGCCGCCGGCCGGGCCAGGCGUGGCGUGGCGAGACGUGGCGUGGCGUGGCGAGGCAGGCAGGCAGGCGAGCGGGCGUGGUGUGGUUGUGUUAAUUUUUUAGCACUCACUAACCGCGUAUGUCAGCCGAGUGACCCUGUCUCUUCGUCUGCCGAGUGACCCUGUCUCUUCGUCAGCCAGCCGAGUGACCCUUCUCCUUCAGCUGCCGACUUAUGGCGUGACUCGGCGAGAGCUGGCCGACUCAUGGCAUAACUCGGCUAGAGCUGGCCGACUCUUGGCGUGACUCGGCGACCUUUCUCCUUCAGCUUCCCUCUGCGAGAGGUUAAAUAGAUGAGCACCCAUGUCACUCGGUACACGCGAGAAACACUUUCAGUCUCACAAUCCAGCCGCCGAGUGAGGGUAUUUCCAUCUCGUGACUCUGCGCGCACAGAGUAGCGAGAGGGCAGGUGCCUCCGAAGCCGGUGCCGUUCGAGACCUUGCACGGGGGAUCGGCAAUUAGGUUUUUGGGGAGCGUCUACGCGACUGCCCAAAACAUCUUCAACAUGACAAAGGAAGCUGGCCAAGGAUCUGGAUCAUCAGAGCGCAUAGGAGGGUAUGAUCAGUUUAUUUACUUACUGUUUUGUGUUCUGG